AUUGAACGCUGGCGGCAGGCUUAACACAUGCAAGUCGAGCGGAGUGAUGGUGCUUGCACUAUCACUUAGCGGCGGACGGGUGAGUAAUGCUUAGGAAUCUGCCUAUUAGUGGGGGACAACAUCUCGAAAGGGAUGCUAAUACCGCAUACGUCCUACGGGAGAAAGCAGGGGAUCACUUGUGACCUUGCGCUAAUAGAUGAGCCUAAGUCGGAUUAGCUAGUUGGUGGGGUAAAGGCCUACCAAGGCGACGAUCUGUAGCGGGUCGGAGAGGAUGAUCCGCCACACUGGGACUGAGACACGGCCCAGACUCCUACGGGAGGCAGCAGUGGGGAAAAUUGGACAAUGGGGGGAACCCUGAUCCAGCCAUGCCGCGUGUGUGAAGAAGGCCUUAUGGUUGUAAAGCACUUUAAGCGAGGAGGAGGCUCUUUUGGUUAAUACCCAAGAUGAGUGGACGUUACUCGCAGAAUAAGCACCGGCUAACUCUGUGCCAGCCGCCGCAGUAA
RNAcentral lists this ribosomal RNA (503 nucleotides) under uncultured bacterium. Its description in RNAcentral is "partial 16S ribosomal RNA". It matches the Rfam family "Bacterial small subunit ribosomal RNA", at positions 30 to 523 of the family's 1533-position model. The record is from RNAcentral.